This 443-nucleotide ribosomal RNA is filed under the name uncultured bacterium. RNAcentral describes it as "partial 16S ribosomal RNA". It matches the Rfam family "Bacterial small subunit ribosomal RNA", at positions 338 to 795 of the family's 1533-position model. The record is from RNAcentral.
CCUACGGGGCGCAGCAGUGGGGAAUAUUGGGCAAUGGGCGAAAGCCUGACCGAGCAACGCCGCGUGAACGAAGAAGUAUUUCGGUAUGUAAAGCUCUAUCAGCAGGGAAGAAAGGAAUGACGGUACCUGACUAAGAAGCCCCGGCUAACUACGUGCCAGCAGCCGCGGUAAUACGUAGGGGGCAAGCGUUAUCCGGAUUUACUGGGUGUAAAGGGAGCGUAGACGGUUACGCAAGUCUGGAGUGAAAGGCGGGGGCCCAACCCCCGGACUGCUUUGGAAACUGUAUAACUGGAGUGCAGGAGAGGUAAGUGGAAUUCCUAGUGUAGCGGUGAAAUGCGUAGAUAUUAGGAGGAACACCAGUGGCGAAGGCGGCUUACUGGACUGUAACUGACGUUGAGGCUCGAAAGCGUGGGGAGCAAACAGGAUUAGAUACCCUGGUAGUC